Long non-coding RNA from Triticum aestivum (bread wheat), 5537 nucleotides. RefSeq lists it as uncharacterized. The record is from RefSeq and is a predicted model, not a curated record. The transcript is spliced from 5 exons. Lineage: Eukaryota; Viridiplantae; Streptophyta; Magnoliopsida; Poales; Poaceae.
CCGCGCGAGAGCGACCUGCGUCCCCCCGAGCCCCCCUUGCUGCCGCCACCCCUCCCCUCUGCCCCGCGCCGGAUCCGCCUGCCGCCGCCGCCACCGCUCUCCUCUGCCCCGUGCUGGACCACCUCUCCUCCUCCUGCCGCGCCGCCACCGCUCCUCCAUCCUCCGCCAAUUCCAAUCCCCUCCUCUUGGCCGCGCAUCCGCGACGGAGACUGAGGAUCCCGAGCCCCGGCCCCAGGCCCUAGCCGCCGGGGAGCUGGUCUGGGCCAAGACCAAGGGCCGCCACCGGCGCGCCUCCGCCCCCUCCCCAGAAUCCUCCCUCGUCUCCUCACCCCGCCGCCACCGUCAAGCCCUUCCUUGCCAUCCCCGACACCGACGCCCUCACAAGGGCCAACACCGGCCUUGCCUUCAUUCCCCACAAGUUCUUGCCGCCCCCGCCGCCUCCUCCUCUUCCUCCCACCUCAGCCGCCUCCCCCCUCCCCCUUACCCUCUCCCCCACCCCCUCCCGCAUCUCGUCUGCCCCGGGUGUGGAUGCGACCUUCCCGGUGCCGCUGGGUUCGAUCUACAGGAGAGAGAGAGAGAGAGAGAGAGAGAGGGAGGUGUGGCUUCUAACUGGAGAGGGUCUCCGCCGGCGUCGGCCUGCACCGGCGAGGUCAGGCGCGACCUGGCUUCUAGGGCGGCUUGACUACAGUCUACAGGUGACCACGUCCCUUUUCUCCCCUUCUCCCGUAUGUAUCUCUCUAUGUUGUUUCUCCUCCUUCCUCACACGAAGAAACACACAGAGCAGUAAACAAUGGGAGGAUUUGGGGGCUGCUCAGUUUUGGAUAUGGGGGCUGCACGGGCUUGGAGCAGCAAGCCUUGGCAACGAAGUAUACCCAUAUUAUAAUUAAAGGAGAGGAGUUGUACCGCCUUGCACAUAAUGCAUUUUAAUUCCUUAUUUCUCACAUCCCGAAGGUCACAUUACAUCUAUGAACCAGAAGAACUAGAGAAGUGUAUCUUAACGUUGUAUGCAGAGCUGGGUCGACAUAUGAAGACGCGGGAGCUAAAGCAAAUAGACUGCAAGGUUAUCAGGAUACUAGAGAAAUGGGUUAUGCUUUAGUCCUUGUAAAUGGCACUGGUUUUUCUGGUGCAAGUAAAGCCUGACAGUGGUGUACUCCAGGCAAUGUGAAGCUGGGACAUUCCUAUCAGGCGUGACCUUGUAGCCAAAUCCAUGAGGAGUCAGAGGCAGUUGCAGCAACUAACCAUGAAGCGACGGCGGAGAUCCAGUUCAUCUUUUAGGUCUGACCAGCACAAGGUGGCAACAGCAGUAGUGGAGAAGGCAUGAAGAGGCCCACAUCUAAAAAUCCGUUUUGCUGACGAUCAAGGGAGAUGGUCUUAGCAUCCACUAUGACAAUGUUGUCCAGAACAUGGACGACUCUGGAAACUGAAAAGUGCACACAAAGGCCACCGAUCGGAUCGGAGUGAAGAAACCCGUUCGGACCGCUGCCGCAUGCCUCGCCUCAGCAACGGAUCAACCUCUGCACCUACAUCCACUUCGACAGGUCGUCGGUCAAAGCAGGUCUAUUUUACCCUCCUUCAUGCGGAUGAAUCUGAUCAAGUUUAUUUCAAAUUCCAAUCUAGAGUAGUUACACUUUUUCGCCUCUGCCUGCCUGCUUCUAGCAGGGUUGCAUUUCUCCAAUUUUCACAGCUUCAAGUCAAUACCUAUAAAUUGUGUAUGUGAUUCAUCAUCGUUCAAUUAUCCCGUACCCUAUGUGAAUUAUAUGCUGAAGUACAGGUUGACAAGAACCUACUAGAUGUACAUACUUUUCUAGCUGGUACACAGUAAAAAGAAAGGGCUUGAGUAAAUGCACAUUGUUCAUUUCAUAUCUAUCAGAAGUUCCUGCAUUUAUUUUCCAGUAGCCAUAAUCAAUGUCAGUCACACACUUUGAAGGUUUUACACUUUUAUUUGGUAUCCUACUGCGCUGCAUGAUAACAUCCACAUUUACACGUAGUUUAGGCCCAGUAAAGCAUUCCCCCCUGGUUUCUUCAGCUUGCAAGAAAGGUUAUGGACUCUGAGUUGACAUUCUAUUUAUUAAAAAGGUGCCUACAUGAAAAAAAAUCAUUGAAAAGCCAAGUGAGACACAAUAACUGUCCACCCAAAUCAUUGUGCUGGCUCAAAGCCCUCUGCGACACAGAGGCUGACGGGCUCUUGCUCUGCACCCGCCAAUCCGGCGAGGGUGCUAUAUGUGAAUUUUCCCGAAUUGUGAAACUAUUGCAUGUGCACUAUAUGUAUGAUGGAAGGUUUCACUUAAGAAGUGUCCAAACUGAGGUACUAGAUAACUGCCAUACUUAAUGGAAGAGACAUUCGCCCUAACCUGCAACUGCACCAGUUAUAUAGAUGCACAUAUAACUGAUUUGUUGCUAUCUGAGACCAUUAUUUUAAUUGUGAAUCUUAUUUUUCUUUACCUCUAGGCCAUGAACCAUCUUACCCUUAAAUCAGAAUUCAUGUUUUUUUCGCUCAUAUUUUGUUCCUUACCAGUGACAGUGCAGAUUCCUAAAUGCAUAAAGCUCCCGGGAAGGUAAAACUGUGGUGUUUCAUUAAAUUGAAAUCUGUCAUUUAUAUUUGACUGCUUCAUUCUUCUCUAAAACCACAGGUAUAUCCAUAUAGUGAACUGGAUUAUGCAUUAAUCGGUUGAUUCAGAGCUCUUGUAUCUUGAGUGGCAUUCACCUUUGGGCAAUUCAAGCGACCUUAGGUAUUUUCCAGUGAUAUUGAAGCUAUUUUGAAAUAGUGCAUACUAGCAUAAUUUGUGUUAUUUUCCGCGAUAGAUGAAUUAGCAUAUCCCCAAAGAAGAGCAAAUCCACUUAGUUAGAGCUUCGUUGUUACUCUGCGAGGAAAUUUAUCGUUUAAAACUUUUAUCUCUUCCAUUAUUCAGUGUUGUAGGAUAUUUUCCAACUGCACUUGAAAAUUAGGAAGCUGAAAAAAAACAAGAGCUCAAUUUUUAGACUAAAAUUACAAACAUUGCAAUAAAAAGGUUGUAAUUCAUACAAGUUACCAACAUUGAUAAGUGAUACUGCAUCAAUAUUUCUCUUUCUUUUGCUAGAAUAUCUCUUUUAUACAAAUUUAGGAAGAUCUUAGGACGAUUUUUUCUGAUGGAUUUUUCCUCCUUUGUUUAUGUUUCAGGUCAUGGUCUUCUUAACGAUGUCUCACUGUUGAAAAGAGUUCUUAUGUGGGUUCUGUUUUAAUGUCUUUGUAAGAUAUUCUCUUGUGAUAUUUCAGUUGUUCUGGAUGCGAUAUUUUUGUUUCUAGCUACUGAAAGCAUGAGGCUAAUAUAAAUUGAACCCAUUUUAAAUUUGGAUUUGCAUUGCAAUUAAUUAUAGCAAACUGGUUAGUCAAGUAUCUAUGGACUAUUAAUAUAGUUAUUCUUUGUCCUUCCCGAGUCCUUUUUCUUGGUACUUCAGCUGAAAAGAUGCCCUUGGAGAAUGUUUUUCUAAUGUAUUUCCCCACCUUCUCCAUUAAAACUAUUAAAUAACAAUUAAUUUGUAAGUUUCAUAUUCGGUGAGUCUUGUUGUACAUGCUCGCAAGUCUAACAUUUGUCUCCUAUGUCAGGUACAUGGUAUGAGAUUAUGCACAUAUUUUUAAAGCUUCAUUGCCAUAUUUUUGUACCAAAUGUGUAGGCUUUACAACAGUAGCCAUUUAUCAUUUACGGUGGUUGACCGUGGCCCAUCUGAAAAUCUACAUGUCUCGCUGGCUCCCCAUCGGAUUACUAGGGCAUUAAGCUCCACACGUGGAAAUAGACUGUCACGGUAGAUGGUUGCGCACAACUGAUGGCCGCAACUCGCUGCCGUAGUUGUGCUGCUUGCAUUAUGCUUGGGCUGCUCUGGAAUUAUUUAGAUUUCAGUUCGUGGACUUUAUUACUCAUGUGUUCUUUUAGUAGGCCUAUACAAACACAAUUGUACUAUGGCUGAUCUGUUUCCUCUUGUUGCGGUUGUCGUGCCUAGGAAAAUAUGAAAUAUUUAAAGUUUGGUUCUUUUGAAGCUUGAAACACAAUUGUACAACAGCUUCCAUAAAGUAUUUUGCAACUUCAGAAAUCCAAAAUUAUGGUUCUGAUGUUAACGACCAGGAUGAUGCGAUAGCCUCUUUUGAUUCGUAUCUAUUUUUUCGAAGCUUGAAAGAUAUACUUGCAACACUUGACUGGAAUGAACUAACUUGUGUUUCUCUUUUUUUUUCCAUUUCCAGAAUACUUUGCUGCUAGCAUAAUUGUGAUCCAUUUUUUACUCUACUUUUCCUUGAUCUAUAUACAUGAUUGCCAAUUUCCAACUUCUUAGUUACAGAAAAAACAAACAAAAUUCAGUUUAGAUGUGUCUGUUGUAGGCAUUAGUAGAUUCUUCAGAGCCAUCAUUCUGAACAUUGUUUAAAAUGACGCCCUAUUGCCGUUGGUGCCAAGAACUUGUGAUUUAUGGCUUAUGUCAAUUCCAUCUUUAUAAAUGCUUGUGAAGUACACGGUGGGGGAGCGCAUGGUUGAUGAUUAUGUUCUGGGUUGGCCAUUGAGAGGGAGGCCGAAGCAAACUCCAUCAGGUUUCAGGUGCACGCCCUCUGUCCCUGUUUUCGUCUCUGUAGCUAAACUUGAGAAUUGUACAAUUUGGUAUACACAGUUAGUUGCUAAGUUUACAUGCAGUUAUGGAAGUUAGAGCACAUACAUGCUUGAUUUUACUUCCUUUAAUACAGGGCAUUCUAUAAUUACUAAGAACUGAUUUGUUGAAGUGUGGCUCCCUAUUUUGUCCGGAUAGCUACUUCAGGUUAGGCGGGAGAAAUAAAAAGGGUGACCAUAGAUAUAUGGUCUAGCAUCACAAGGUUCAGGUAACUGCUGUUGAUCGACCGUUGCUUCGGUCGAGGUGGGUUAUGCUUGAUUAUGUUCUUUGUAUUUUUUUUCAUGGCCUACACUGGUGUUAUCAUCUAUUCUGUUUCAAAAAUUUCAAUGGCUUAGUUUCAUGUCCCAGUACCACUUGAAGUACAACUAAGUACCUUCUGACAUGACAAUAAUGUAUGUAUUUACCUAUGGUUAUUGUUUCCUAUAAGAAACAUGAUCAUCUCACCUUGGUUUCCCCUGUAUCUAACUUGGGACAGUUUUAUGUGAGAUUUGUUUUGCACUUUCUGUGUGUGUGGAUGCUUAAGCUUAAGCUUUUGUUAUUUGGUUCAGUUAGAGAUUAAAGAAGACUGAAAUUAUGGUCUCGCAGCGAGGAUUGUUGUGCCCAACCUGCACAAGAAUGUAGUCCUUCUCCGAGACGUAAGCCACGGCGCAUGUUUCUGCCAUGAUUUCCUUUAGUUGGAUUUCAUGGAUUUAGGUGUUGAAACAUUAUGGGCUGUGGAUGCAGGAUUAAGGACAUGUACCUGCACUACAAUGAGUGAUCUGGGCUGCUUCUUUGUGGCUUCCAAACUUGAAAUGUUUUUUGGAAGUUAGUUUAGUUUUUUGUUGUGGAUUCACAGCUUCUCACAUGUACCAUUCUCUUGGACCUUUAGAUUUCCAAAGAAACUAAAUGAAGAUAUGGUGGUAUGGUCUCAA